Molecule: ribosomal RNA, 253 nt
Filed under: uncultured bacterium
Lineage: Bacteria
Description: partial 16S ribosomal RNA
Rfam family: Bacterial small subunit ribosomal RNA
Source: RNAcentral
UACGAAGGGGGCUAGCGUUGUUCGGAAUCAUUGGGCGUAAAGAGCGUGUAGGCGGCCCGGUAAGUCCGCUGUGAAAGUCGGGGGCUCAACCCUCGAAUGCCGGUGGAUACUGUCGGGCUAGAGUGCGGAAGAGGCGAGUGGAAUUCCUGGUGUAGCGGUGAAAUGCGCAGAUAUCAGGAGGAACACCAAUUGCGAAGGCAGCUCGCUGGGACGUAACUGACGCUGAGACGCGAAAGCGUGGGGAGCAAACAGG